GACGAACGCUGGCGGCGUGCCUAAUACAUGCAAGUCGAGCGGACGAAUCGAAAGCUUGCUUUUGAUUCGUUAGCGGCGGACGGGUGAGUAACACGUGGGCAACCUGCCCUGUAGACGGGGAUAACACCGAGAAAUCGGUGCUAAUACCGGAUAACACGAAAUGUCGCAUGACGUUUCGUUGAAAGACGGCGCAAGCUGUCGCUACAGGAUGGGCCCGCGGCGCAUUAGCUAGUUGGUGAGGUAACGGCUCACCAAGGCGACGAUGCGUAGCCGACCUGAGAGGGUGAUCGGCCACACUGGGACUGAGACACGGCCCAGACUCCUACGGGAGGCAGCAGUAGGGAAUCUUCCGCAAUGGACGAAAGUCUGACGGAGCAACGCCGCGUGAGCGAAGAAGGCCUUCGGGUCGUAAAGCUCUGUUGUUAGGGAAGAACAAGUAACGCAGUAACUGGCGUUACCGUGACGGUACCUGACGAGAAAGCCACGGCUAACUACGUGCCAGCAGCCGCAGUAA
This 514-nucleotide ribosomal RNA is filed under the name uncultured bacterium. Its description in RNAcentral is "partial 16S ribosomal RNA". It matches the Rfam family "Bacterial small subunit ribosomal RNA", at positions 28 to 523 of the family's 1533-position model. The record is from RNAcentral.